This 284-nucleotide ribosomal RNA is filed under the name Staphylococcus canis. Its description in RNAcentral is "partial 23S ribosomal RNA". It matches the Rfam family "Bacterial large subunit ribosomal RNA", at positions 1 to 281 of the family's 2925-position model. The record is from RNAcentral. Lineage: Bacteria; Bacillati; Bacillota; Bacilli; Caryophanales; Staphylococcaceae.
AGAUUAAGUUAUUAAGGGCGCACGGUGAAUGCCUUGGCACUAGAAGCCGAUGAAGGACGUUACUAACGACGAUAUGCUUUGGGGAGCUGUAAGUAAGCUGUGAUCCAGAGAUUUCCGAAUGGGGGAACCCAGCACGAGUUAUGUCGUGUUAUCCAUACGUGAAUUCAUAGCGUAUGAGAAGGUAGACCCGGAGAACUGAAACAUCUUAGUACCCGGAGGAAGAGAAAGAAAAUUCGAUUCCCUGAGUAGCGGCGAGCGAAACGGGAAGAGCCCAAACCAACAAG